Canis lupus familiaris (dog) is the source of this 1283-nucleotide long non-coding RNA. RefSeq lists it as uncharacterized. The transcript is spliced from 3 exons. NCBI's taxonomy places the organism in Eukaryota, Metazoa, Chordata, Mammalia, Carnivora, Canidae. The record is from RefSeq and is a predicted model, not a curated record.
AAUACUAUUAGUAGUAUUACUACUAAACUUUAGUAUUACUACUAAAAUUUACAUGCUUUUCCCCAAUGUUACUUUUUCCUCAUUUUGAGGGAUUUUCUCUCGUUUCCCCGCCUUUGAUCCAGCUCCCUCGCUCCGCCUUCAUCCUGCUUGCACUCCUCUCCAUCGUCCUCAUUUACAAGACUCUCUUUAAUGACAGAUUCGAACACGAUCAAUGAUCCCCCGAAGGUAUUUGAGCCGAUAUGAUAGCUCUCCCUGGUGUAUUUUCAUUUUAAGCCUUCAGUUGGGAAUGUCAGGUGGUGUUUCCCAUCGAGGAAUACCUUCAGGGGACCCUAACAUCUCCAAGCUUCAGGCACCUGUGCCCCCACAGAAGACUGAUGUUCUGGUGGCAGAUUCAGUCGAGAAGGUGGAAGUCAUUGUAGGUAUUUGGAGCAAAGAGGGAUUUCAUAUGGGGAGUAAAGUUUCCAAGUUGUUGGAAGGGAAGGAGUGAAAGUGGGGGGUGGGAGGAGUCACAUGCCCCUGGGGCCCAGCACUGCAGUCGGCCCCCCAGCCUCACGGCGCCCCCUGGGCCCACAGGCCUUGCCCCCCUACGGCCUCCAUCCUGCCUGUGGGACCCCGCUGCUGCUAGGGCCGCCUCUACCAUUGUUCUUAGACUCCUGCCAUGCAAGCUGGAGCCAAAAAUAGGAUCCCUGCUCUCAUGCCUGUGUCUCGCAUGGGUGGCAUCUGAACUGGAACCACGCCGGCAGGGGGUUCUGAGAGCCACAGUUCGCAGGUUUCUAGCCCUUGUGAUUUGGGGAACUUAGAAAGGUAGGUCCUGAGAACCGCAGGCACGCCCCAGCACGGACGUGGCAUUGUGAGUCCUGAGCACCUUCACAUGCCCGGCUGAGCCCUGCGUGAGGAGGGGCCUCGGGCUGCCUGGGCCCUGAGAUCGUAGGUGGGGACAGCAACAGCCAUCUGGAAGCCCCUCAGGAAGCCAAGCCAUGCUUCAAACCUCCCAUCAACAAGUCUGUGAGUUUCCAAUGGCUGCUGUAAUCGAUUGCCCCAAUCAUGGUGGCUUAAAACCGAUAGAAAUGGAUUGUCUCACGGCUCUGGAGGCCCGGAGUCUGCAAUCAAGGUGGCAGCAGGACCACGCGCCCUCCGGAAGCUCUAGGGGAGAAUCCUUCCUUGCCUCAUCCAGGAGACCCUGGCUGUGCAUCUGUGACUAUGAGCCGUGGCCAAAUGGGAAGAGCCUCAUAGAUGCGGCUGGAGUGAUUAAUAGCAGCCUGUUUCCAGAGCUCUGAGAGUGG